GCUAACGUAGCAAAACUCGGCCCUGCAAAAGACCUAAACUCUUCCCAUGGGGGUUCAAAUCCCCCCGUUAACA
Molecule: transfer RNA, 73 nt
Filed under: Telmatobufo australis
Lineage: Eukaryota; Metazoa; Chordata; Amphibia; Anura; Calyptocephalellidae
Description: tRNA-Leu
Rfam family: tRNA
About the family: Transfer RNA (tRNA) molecules are approximately 80 nucleotides in length. Their secondary structure includes four short double-helical elements and three loops (D, anti-codon, and T loops).
Source: RNAcentral